Molecule: long non-coding RNA, 1298 nt
Organism: Cyprinus carpio carpio
Lineage: Eukaryota; Metazoa; Chordata; Actinopteri; Cypriniformes; Cyprinidae
Source: Ensembl
CACUCUUGACCUUGCACUCAUGGAAAAGGUAGUUCACCAUGGUAACCUGGAUCUCGAGGCUUUGCGGUUAGUCCAUCAUCUCAGCCCUCUUCAUGUCUUCACUUUUAUUGGCUGCACAAUUGAAAUGUCAUGCUUGGCCAGCAGAGGAGCCUGUAAUUUUUAACGCGUGAUUAAACCAUCCCUGCUAAAUGGAAAACGCUGCCUGACCAGACAACAAAAUGGGGGGAAGAGAAACACGAAGGUGCAGACAAACGGAGCAAAUCCGAUGCUGUUUUUUAAAGACUUAUUUUUCUUUUAUUUUUUAAGAAAGUGGCACUGAGGCACACGAUGCGCCACAUCAAAGCCAGAAUAUGUCACUGAUGUAAAGGAAAUCAGGUUCAAAUGAAUAUUAAUAAGCGGAACAAUUACCUCUGGGAAAUGUUGUCUGCAGCUUAGCUUUACUAACAUACACCUCACCUUUGGCUCGGUGGCAUCAGAGACGGAAUCCCCAGCAGGCAUUUCUGCUACAGCUGCUGCUAUAUUUGGAUGUCAUUUCUGCCCUUGCUCUCCAUCAGUCUGUUUCUGCCUUCUCUCUCACUUUCUCCUCCCCGCACCACUGUUGUUUUUUUUUAUAUAUGUGAAACAUGUGAAAGGAAAUCUCCUGCCUGCAAUAUCUGUGGAUUUGAGAGCUGUGUUAUAUGUCAGGUGGGAUAUUUUGUAAUACAUACAGCAAUAUUAACACAACAAAUAGGGUUUUCAUUAUUUACAGGAAAUGUCUGCGGACAGCGCAACAAUAUCUACCGCAGAUUGUUUGCUUUAUACGGCCCCAUGCUGAUAUUUCACUGCACAGCAAACCUUUAUAAUGAGUUCUACCUAUUUGAAAGCUGUUGCAAAAUUAUUGUCAACUUUCUGCACCACUGCUUGCUGGAACCUUUGCUUCAAACUGUACGCUAUUCAGCGGCACAGAUUAGCUUAGAUCCAUUGAUUGAACUUUAAAAGAACUCUCUGUGCUGAGAAGAACUCAAAAGGUGACUAGAGUUUAAUACACAGCUCCUCACACUUUGAGCUUAUACCUACACAUUCCUACACAUUUCUCCUCCUCCAGCUUUAGCAAGAUUCACACUUUAAUGCUAAUGCCAGUAUGAGCUUUAUAUAAGGAUUAGAUUUCCCCGAGUCUGCUUUCACCUUGAAGAUCUGACUUGAUUUAAGAACUUUUGACUUGUAUGAAAAGUAGCACAAAUUGGCGUUGCUUGUAAUUUUAAUUGUGCGUCUUUGUCUUGAAUGUUUGAAGUUAUGAGUUUCGGAGCAAGUUUAUUUUU